AGUGAACGCUGGCGGUAGGCCUAACACAUGCAAGUCGAACGGCAGCACAGUAAGAGCUUGCUCUUACGGGUGGCGAGUGGCGGACGGGUGAGGAAUACAUCGGAAUCUACUUUUUCGUGGGGGAUAACGUAGGGAAACUUACGCUAAUACCGCAUACGACCUACGGGUGAAAGCAGGGGAUCUUCGGACCUUGCGCGAUUGAAUGAGCCGAUGUCGGAUUAGCUAGUUGGCGGGGUAAAGGCCCACCAAGGCGACGAUCCGUAGCUGGUCUGAGAGGAUGAUCAGCCGCACUGGAACUGAGACACGGUCCAGACUCCUACGGGAGGCAGCAGUGGGGAAUAUUGGACAAUGGGCGCAAGCCUGAUCCAGCCAUACCGCGUGGGUGAAGAAGGCCUUCGGGUUGUAAAGCCCUUUUGUUGGGAAAGAAAAGCAGCAGGUUAAUACCCCGCUGUUCUGACGGUACCCGAAGAAUAAGCACCGGCUAACUUCGUG
RNAcentral lists this ribosomal RNA (492 nucleotides) under uncultured bacterium. Its description in RNAcentral is "partial 16S ribosomal RNA". It matches the Rfam family "Bacterial small subunit ribosomal RNA", at positions 29 to 507 of the family's 1533-position model. The record is from RNAcentral.